Molecule: non-coding RNA, 95 nt
Organism: Mycena vulgaris
Lineage: Eukaryota; Fungi; Basidiomycota; Agaricomycetes; Agaricales; Mycenaceae
Source: the annotation of a GenBank genome assembly
GACCUAGUGGUGAAAUGAACCACACUCGCAAUCUGUAAAUUGGUCACUGUAGUUCAAUUUAGUGAGAGAUCCCGGUUCGACUCCGGGCUGGGUCA